Long non-coding RNA from Rhagoletis zephyria (snowberry fruit fly), 102 nucleotides. RefSeq lists it as uncharacterized. NCBI's taxonomy places the organism in Eukaryota, Metazoa, Arthropoda, Insecta, Diptera, Tephritidae. The record is from RefSeq and is a predicted model, not a curated record.
ACGAAGAAAUUCUUGCCAUUAGUUGAAAGUAUUUUGUAAGACAGUUUAAAGACAGCAAGCAAAAUAGUUUGAAAGAUUUUGCUUAUUCUGUCUUGAAAGUCU